CCUACGUGAGGCAGCAGUCGAGAAUUAUUCACAAUGGGGGAAACCCUGAUGGUGCGACGCCGCGUGGGUGAAGAAGGUCCUCGGAUCGUAAAACCUUGUUUUUAGAGAAGAAAGUGCGUGAGAGUAACUGCUCACGUUUCGUCGGUAUCUAACCAGAAUGCCAUGGCUAACUACGUGCCAGCAGCCGCGGUAAUACGUAGGUAGCAAUCUUUAUCCGGAUUUAUUGGGCGUAAAGGGAACGCAGGCGGUCUUUUAAGUCUGAUGUGAAAGCCUUCGGGUUAACCGGAGUAGUGCAUGGGAAACUGGGAGACUUGAGUGCAGAAGAGGAGAGUGGAACUCCAGGUGUAGCGGUGAAAUGCGUAGAUAUAUGGAAGAACACCAGUGGCGAAAGCGGCUCUCUGGUCUGUAACUGACGCUGAGGUUCGAAAGCGUGGGUAGCAAACAGGAUUAGAUACCCUAGUAGUC
This 465-nucleotide ribosomal RNA is filed under the name uncultured bacterium. Its description in RNAcentral is "partial 16S ribosomal RNA". It matches the Rfam family "Bacterial small subunit ribosomal RNA", at positions 338 to 795 of the family's 1533-position model. The record is from RNAcentral.